GAUUAUUGAGGACAGAACAGGCAUCUGUCGCCCUUGUGGAGAUGUAGGACACGCCGCCCUACCAAUAAUC
RNAcentral lists this non-coding RNA (70 nucleotides) under unclassified sequences. RNAcentral's name for it is "skipping-rope RNA". It matches the Rfam family "skipping-rope RNA". Rfam says of the family: Firmicutes, Fusobacteria, AlphaProteobacteria, Spirochaetes. Downstream gene The record is from Rfam by way of RNAcentral.